GGGGUGGGUAGUCCGUACGAGCGCACCCUUUGUCCUUAGUUGCCAGCACAUAAUGGUGGGAACUCUAGGGAGACUGCCGGUGACAAACCGGAGGAAGGUGGGGACGACGUCAAGUCAUCAUGGCCCUUACGGCCUGGGCUACACACGUGCUACAAUGGAACGCACAGAGGGCUGCAACCUCGCGAGAGUGAGCGAAUCCCACAAAACGUUUCGUAGUCCGGAUUGGAGUCUGCAACUCGACUCCAUGAAGUCGGAAUCGCUAGUAAUCGUGAAUCAGAAUGUCACGGUGAAUACGUUCCCGGGCCUUGUACACACCGCCCGUCACACCAUGGGAGUGGGUUGCUCCAGAAGUGGUUAGCCUAACCUUCGGGAGGGCGAUCACCACGGAGUGAUUCAUGACUGGGGUGAAGUCGUAACAAGGUAGCCCUAGGGGAACCUGGGGCUGGAUCACCUCCUU
RNAcentral lists this ribosomal RNA (457 nucleotides) under uncultured Gammaproteobacteria bacterium. Its description in RNAcentral is "bacterial SSU rRNA". It matches the Rfam family "Bacterial small subunit ribosomal RNA", at positions 1071 to 1532 of the family's 1533-position model. Lineage: Bacteria; Pseudomonadati; Pseudomonadota; Gammaproteobacteria. The record is from RNAcentral.